GGGAAUUUUGCGCAAUGGGCGAAAGCCUGACGCAGCAACGCCGCGUGAGUGAUGAAGGCCUUCGGGUCGUAAAGCUCUGUCAGAGGGGAAGAACCACCUGUAGGUUAAUAUCCGGCAGGCCUGACGGUACCCUCAAAGGAAGCACCGGCUAACUCCGUGCCAGCAGCCGCGGUAAUACGAAGGGAGCAAGCGUUGUUCGGAUUUACUGGGCGUAAAGGGUGCGUAGGCGGCGCGUCAAGUCACUUGUGAAAUCUCCGGGCUUAACUCGGAACGGCCAAGUGAUACUGUCGUGCUAGAGUGCGGAAUGGGCAACUGGAAUUCUUGGUGUAGCGGUGAAAUGCGUAGAUAUCAAGAGGAACACCUGAGGCGAAGGCGAGUUGCUGGGCCGACACUGACGCUGAGGCACGAAAGCCAGGGGAGCGAA
This 424-nucleotide ribosomal RNA is filed under the name uncultured bacterium. Its description in RNAcentral is "bacterial SSU rRNA". It matches the Rfam family "Bacterial small subunit ribosomal RNA", at positions 357 to 772 of the family's 1533-position model. The record is from RNAcentral.